Anas platyrhynchos (mallard) is the source of this 1145-nucleotide long non-coding RNA. RefSeq lists it as uncharacterized. The record is from RefSeq and is a predicted model, not a curated record. NCBI's taxonomy places the organism in Eukaryota, Metazoa, Chordata, Aves, Anseriformes, Anatidae.
GGUUGCCUCUCCUACUGUCAGGCUGUUGCCUGCACAGCUUCGCCUGGACACAGGGUCACUGCACAACAAUGCAAGGUGGCUACAGCUGAAAUAGCAGAAAUCCAGUACGAUUCUCCUUUUCCUCUGCAAUCAGUGUGCAGCUCAGGGGGCAGCAGUCUGUGCAUUCACACACUGGGCUGUGUUUUCCAGUUUGGUAACAGCCUGCAGCAUCUUUGAGCCCGCGUAUCUACUGGAAGGCCCAGGUGUUGCCCCUGCACAUGGGAAACCCCCUCACAGGAGAUGAUGAGCAGCCGGAGGUAGAAUAGAAGGAUGCUCGCACUAACCUCUGGGGGGUCGGCACAGCGGAGAGAAAGUCCUUGCAAUGAUCUGCCAGCAUUUUUCUUUCCCCACCGGGGAUCUCAGGGAAGAAGGCACGGGGUCAGCGCCUCGGCUCUGAGAGGCUCUCCUGCUGGCCCUCCGGAAGCACUUGAGGGCCAGGUGAAUUUAUUUCCUAUUGCUUCGUUUUUCCUCGCAGAUCUGACAGCUCAUAAUACCUCUGGUGCCUGACAGCCUCGCUCUUCCCCAAUUGAUAAAUAAUCUCUUUCUGAUUUGAGCAACCAAGGAACAUCUUGAGCCUGUCACACUGGAGGAGAUCCAUCAGCCUCUCGUGCCACGAGUGAGGUGUUUGAAAAAUGCUGUUUGCGCAGCCAUUCUGGGGUAUUAAUUCCUGGCAUCCCACUUUAUUUUGAUUGUUUCCUAAAGAACAACAACAUACUUUAACUCUUUGCAAAUGAAGCAGCAUUCUGUUGUUAUGGUAACUCAAGUUCUAAAAAUACUAUAAAGGAAAGACCACCUUUAAUUGAUAUCACAAGAAGUUGUUAUGGUAACUGGAAUUUUAAAAGUAACUAGGUUAAACUCCAUUUCUUUUUAUCCAGAGCUCUGCAUAAACAAAUUCUGAUUAAAAUAUCAGGUUUAAUUUAAUCAGUUAAUUAAUGUCACUAAAUGUCAUUUAUCUUGUAAGUCUCAUUUAUAUUCAGUGCAAAAUUACCUAACUUGCUGAGUUCUAACUAUUCUGCCUUCGGUCUGGUAUUUUGGAGUUGGAUGACUGUACAAUUUAUUUUUGGUCAUGGAGCGGUUAAAAAUGAACAUGCUGCUUUUAGAUCAUG